CCUACGGGAGGCAGCAGUGGGGAAUCUUGCGCAAUGGGCGAAAGCCUGACGCAGCCAUGCCGCGUGAAUGAUGAAGGUCUUAGGAUUGUAAAAUUCUUUCACCGGGGACGAUAACGACGGUACCCGGAGAAGAAGCCCCGGCUAACUUCGUGCCAGCAGCCGCGGUAAUACGAAGGGGGCUAGCGUUGCUCGGAAUUACUGGGCGUAAAGGGAGCGUAGGCGGAUAGCUUAGUCAGAGGUGAAAGCCCAGGGCUCAACCUUGGAAUUGCCCUUGAUACUGGCUAUCUUGAGUACGGAAGAGGUAUGUGGAACUCCGAGUGUAGAGGUGAAAUUCGUAGAUAUUCGGAAGAACACCAGUGGCGAAGGCGACAUACUGGUCCGUUACUGACGCUGAGGCUCGAAAGCGUGGGGAGCAAACAGGAUUAGAUACCCUGGUAGUCCACGCUGUAAACGAUGAGUGCUAGUUGUCGGCAUGCAUGCAUGUCGGUGACGCAGCUAACGCAUUAAGCACUCCGCCUGGGGAGUACGGUCGCAAGAUUAAAAACUCAAAAGAUAGUAGGACGNGAGAGAGCGACGACGACGACGACGGAGGAGGAG
Molecule: ribosomal RNA, 597 nt
Filed under: uncultured bacterium
Lineage: Bacteria
Description: bacterial SSU rRNA
Rfam family: Bacterial small subunit ribosomal RNA
Source: RNAcentral